Molecule: long non-coding RNA, 205 nt
Filed under: Elaeis guineensis (African oil palm)
Lineage: Eukaryota; Viridiplantae; Streptophyta; Magnoliopsida; Arecales; Arecaceae
Description: long non-coding RNA (EGUI_LNC047567)
Source: RNAcentral
GGGACAGACCUCGCAGAUCUGUCCUGCUGCAGCCUUUCCUAUAGAUCUGUUGAUGGAGAUCUCACCCGCACCUCAAACGACCUCAGAUCAACUCUAGAUCUGAGAGAGACUUGUAUCAACCUCUUUGCAAGAGAUUUCAGGUCCUGGACCUAGUGCUUGGAUGGCUUCAAGAGAGGGAGAGAGGGAUCUGGUUGGCGGCUGCAAG